RNAcentral lists this ribosomal RNA (2709 nucleotides) under Triticum aestivum (bread wheat). RNAcentral describes it as "partial small subunit ribosomal RNA". Lineage: Eukaryota; Viridiplantae; Streptophyta; Magnoliopsida; Poales; Poaceae. The record is from RNAcentral.
AUGGAGAGGCUGGGCAACGCGCUUGGCACACUGGCAUUCACGUGGGCCACCGUCGUCCUGCUCGGCGGCUACGCCAGUGAACUCCACUCCGAUGAAGAUUUUAUGUUCGCGACAAUCUUAAUUUUCUUAGAGGCCGCAAGGAUGUUCAGCCGCGACAAGAACAGACUAGAUUAUCGACUGUUCUUUAAUACCCGUGGAGCAUUUAGGCCUCUUGGCUGGAGUGGACUGAUUAUAAUUGCAUGUUUUUGUGGUAUUCUGGAAAUCAUCUGGAAGAAGUAUCUGAUCACUAGCAUGAUGAUCUUAAUGAGUCUAAUACUAGUUGGACUUGUCCGAUUAUUGUCUGAGGUGUCACCAAGAGUAUGGAAUCAGAUGCGUUAUGCCGCAUCAGUAUGGAGCCCAUUAGUUGCAAUCAUAUUGCUAGCUCCCUCUAUAUCAGAACACAAAUCAAUGAUUAAAUGGGCAGUGUUUUCGGUACUACUUGUGGCAGUCCUCGUAGCAACAAUAAGUAACCCACGCUUCACAAGAAUCAGUAAACUAGUGGGCAGUGUUCUAGGCAGAAAACAAGAAUUUUGGCGCAACGUCAUUAUAAACGUGUGCAUGAUUGCUGCUCUAGGUAUGCUGGUGUACAUGCUUAAGGAUUAUAAAAGAUAUACGAUGAUCACAAUCGAAGUAUGUGCACUAGUGAUAGUGUCAUUUGGCAACUUACAGAUUCCAGCAGCAGUUGUGCGGGUCAUUCUAGCAUUAAUUGGGCUUAUACCACAUGAUACUAAUGAGCCAGCAUAUGAUGAAAGCUUGGUUGGCCAAAAAAACAUUAAAGCGUCUCUAGGAAUCUUCUAUGGGAUGGUGCUUGGACAAGGAACACUCUAUGCUAUGGCUUGCGUGUUUGAAUUCUUUUCUUUCAUCCCUCGAAGAUCCCUCGUCCGCAGUGGUGGAUUUAAAGGUCAGUGGGGAAUGAAAUCUGUCAAUAUGUAUUACGCAUAUGCGUCAGAGAAAUGCAUGCAAGGGGGUGUGCUUGCUCCAAAGAAGAUCAACCUCAGCACCUUUGCCAUGGAUUCUGUGAACUCGGAUUCAUCCAAGAAUCAGUUCGCCGGGAUACGAAUGAUGCACAACUUUCUGCAAAGUCAACCAACCAAGGCACAACUCCUUUCAAAACUCGCCACUUCUACCAAGACGAUGGCCAGAAUAAUCAGAAUGUUGGAUUGGACAAGUCCAAAGGAUACAGCUAUCAGAUUAUAUGCCGCAAAGGUCACUGCAGAGCUUGCAAAUAACCUCCGUGCAGGCACUAUCCCUGGUACAAUGCAGCUUGUAUCUGCACUUCUUGACGCUGAUCGCAGACUGGAAAGAGGAAACCCACUCCUAGACACUGAUGAUGAACACGAGCGAAGACAAGAUCCAGUUCUGAAUACAGAAGAUAGCAGAGAGGUGUCUGAUAACCAAUUCCAAACACAAGGUCAACUUCGGGACACUGAUAUCCUGCUGGAAACAGAAAGCAGAUCAACCCAAGAAGUUGGCAUGAACAAACAGAACUCGUGCGUGCUCAGAUGCUGGCAGCAUAUUUCAGAAUUCUGGUCAAUACCCAAGGAACAGCUGCGGACAGACCACGAUCUUCUACCGGCACUGGCCAUGUCAAUUAUUGAAAGUCUUGCUGGUGUUGACCAGGACAACUGUGUGGAGAUCAGCAAAGCAGCUGACCUCAUCCCGAAGAUCAUAAGAUUCACAAUCUGCAGAAGUGACACGAUGAAUACCAAGGCACAACAAGAGAUCCUGCUCAAAUCAUCACUGAAGGUGCUGCAAAGGCUCACAAGCAUUGGCGGGGAACCCGGCAUCACACUGCGGUACAAGAUAUCAAAACACCCCUUCCUAUUGAGUAACCUCUCAGGUAUCCUUGGAGACGACAAGAGCAGCCAGAUAUCGAGAAAGUUGGUGGCGGGAAUCCUCAGAAACAUUGCCGUUGAUGAGAAAACAAGGCAGGAAAUUGGUCGCUUCCAAACAAUCAUCACCAAGCUGAUGCAGGCAUUUCUCUACUCAGAAGGAACCAUUAGUACCAAUGAUGAUCACCUGUCACGGAAGGUCGCCGGGCAAGCAUUGGCAAUGCUGACAAUACAAAGUGCCCAAAACUGUUUGGUUAUAUUGAAGGAGCCAUGGUUCAUGAAGGAACUCAAAAUCUUGAUCCAUGAUAAAAGGUACAUAUAUGUGGCGGCAAGCCUGCUGCGUAAUCUGUGCCUGCAUGCUAGAUCCGAGCUCAGAGAGUCAGACCUGAAGGAACUAUCUCAUACCUUGAGAGAGGUGUUGGAAAGAAUACUGGACGCGGAUGGGGCAGAACUAGAGAUCCUGAUUGGGCUUAGUUCACAGAUAUGUAAAGUUAUUCCUGAAGACUUUACCCGAGAACUAGACGCUGGUCAGAUUAAGCAGAGAUUUGCCAAGAGGCUUGUCGACACACUAAAAGCAAACAUGAAACCUAGUGCUCAUAGUCCUGGGAUCAGGAGAGUGAUACUCGAGCAAGUCAUACACAUGAUGGAGUAUAAUUCUUGCUAUGCAGAUUGCUUCAACACAUUCGGGAUGACAGAUGCACUGUCAAUGGUAGAACAAACACCAUCAAAGGCUGAGAACUACAGGCUUUUCUUGGGCGAUGAAGGAUUCAUGGAGUACAGCAUGCCUCUCUCCGAUCUUGUGGCAAGAGCAAAAGAACUUAUGGGUUUUGAGUUUUGA